Molecule: ribosomal RNA, 444 nt
Filed under: uncultured bacterium
Lineage: Bacteria
Description: bacterial SSU rRNA
Rfam family: Bacterial small subunit ribosomal RNA
Source: RNAcentral
ACUCCUACGGGAGGCAGCAGUGGGGAAUAUUGCACAAUGGGGGAAACCCUGAUGCAGCAACGCCGCGUGAGUGAUGACGGUCUUCGGAUUGUAAAGCUCUGUCUUUAGGGACGAUAAUGACGGUACCUAAGGAGGAAGCCACGGCUAACUACGUGCCAGCAGCCGCGGUAAUACGUAGGUGGCAAGCGUUAUCCGGAAUUAUUGGGCGUAAAGGGAGCGUAGGUGGAUAUUUAAGUGGGAUGUGAAAUACUCGGGCUUAACCUGGGUGCUGCAUUCCAAACUGGAUAUCUAGAGUGCAGGAGAGGAAAGGAGAAUUCCUAGUGUAGCGGUGAAAUGCGUAGAGAUUAGGAAGAAUACCAGUGGCGAAGGCGCCUUUCUGGACUGUAACUGACACUGAGGCUCGAAAGCGUGGGGAGCAAACAGGAUUAGAUACCCUGGUAGUCA